GACGAACGCUGGCGGCGUGCCUAAUACAUGCAAGUAGAACGCUGAAGCGAGGAGCUUGCUCUUCUUGGAUGAGUUGCGAACGGGUGAGUAACGCGUAGGUAACCUGCCUUGUAGCGGGGGAUAACUAUUGGAAACGAUAGCUAAUACCGCAUAACAAUGGAUGACACAUGUCAUUUAUUUGAAAGGGGCAAUUGCUCCACUACAAGAUGGACCUGCGUUGUAUUAGCUAGUAGGUGAGGUAAUGGCUCACCUAGGCGACGAUACAUAGCCGACCUGAGAGGGUGAUCGGCCACACUGGGACUGAGACACGGCCCAGACUCCUACGGGAGGCAGCAGUAGGGAAUCUUCGGCAAUGGGGGCAACCCUGACCGAGCAACGCCGCGUGAGUGAAGAAGGUUUUCGGAUCGUAAAGCUCUGUUGUAAGUCAAGAACGGGUGUGAGAGUGGAAAGUUCACACUGUGACGGUAGCUUACCAGAAAGGGACGGCUGACUACGUG
Molecule: ribosomal RNA, 497 nt
Filed under: uncultured bacterium
Lineage: Bacteria
Description: partial 16S ribosomal RNA
Rfam family: Bacterial small subunit ribosomal RNA
Source: RNAcentral